This 2593-nucleotide long non-coding RNA is filed under the name Mus musculus (house mouse). RNAcentral's name for it is "long non-coding RNA chr4:28491003-28493596". The record is from RNAcentral. Lineage: Eukaryota; Metazoa; Chordata; Mammalia; Rodentia; Muridae.
UGGUUCGACCUCCUCUAGGCCCAAGCUUUCCUACUUAAAAGGUUUCCUUUAAAAUGUCUGUUCCAUAUCAGGGAAACUACCUGACUAUGUUUUAAAGAAAGGAGAGAAACAAAGGAUACACUGUUCCUAUUGGGGACUAUAAUUACUUAUCUUAUAUUCUUUGGGUUUGGGUUUAACUCUCUAAAACUUUUGCUAAGGAAUAAACUUUACAUCAAUAUUUGUAAGAAUAUUGGAUAUGAUAAAAAUAAACUCUAAAAUUGUAAUAAAGAGGUUCAAUUAAAACUUGUUGAUACCAGGGUUGAUUAUAUAUAUAUAUAUAUGUAAUGUUAAAGGAAACAUAUGGCUGGCUGCCAUAGCUGCUGUCAUCCCACUGAAAUAGAAAUAGCCAUGUGGCUGACAGACAUCAUUGAUAGGGUUGGAAAGGAUGAAUUUUGCCAUGCGACUUCACUCAUAUCUUGAAAACAACAGUAACAAUAACAACAACAACAACAAUAAAACUGGACCACAAAACAUAAGCUGGCCAAAGAGAAACAACUCCUGUGAAGUCCAAAGCAGAUGAUUCCUCUACUAUUAUCAAAAAUGCUAAUGAGCCUUCUCCUUAUCAACCUUUACCAUGGUCUUUUUCCCCUCUCUUGCUUCUUCAGUCUCUCUUCCUCCCUCCUCAGUGAUAUGCUGCCCGAAUCAACCCUCUUAGACAUCUAAUUCCUGCCCACUGGCUCCCACUCUGCCAUAGGAUGCUUUUUAACUCUCCCUACCUGACCCAAACAAGCCAUGGUUCUCCCUUUAUAGGAGGUUGCUUGCUGAAUAGCUUGUCCAGGGUACACAUCCCCCUUCUGAUUAAACAAACCCUCAAAUAGAAAAGAGACUUCAGUCUUUCCCUGUUAAAUUUUUCACCUUUUAAAUAGAAUUCCAGGAUAUUACCCAAUCUUACAACUCACCUUACAUGAUGUUUAUAUGAUUCUCACCAACAAUUUUCUCCACAAGGAGCAUGAGAAAGUCUGGAACCAGGAUAAGGUAUGUCCAGCUGAAAUCCAUCAAACUAAUGCCGCCAUCUAAGACUCAGCAGACACAGCCCUUGAUUGGGAUCCUGAAAUGGAAUAUUCCAGGGAUCAAUUUAUAAUUUGCCUUCUUUCUGGUUUCUACAAGGCCACCCUUAAAGUGGUAAAUUAUGAACAAAAUCCAAGAGGUCAUCCAGAAAAAAGACAGAAAUCUGUCUCAAUUUCUGGACCACCUUCAAAGGCCCAUUUACAAUACAACAAACUGCAUCCCAAGUCCCCAGAUGGAAAACAACUCCUUAUGAUCUGUUUUUAUUCCAGAGUUUUCCUUACAUUUGUUUCAACUUAAAUGUCUAGAAAGGGGACACCUGACUCCACAGUCAGAAGUAUCAACUACGGUUUUUCAGGUCUACUAUGAGACAAAUGGCAAAGUCCCAAAAUAAAAAUACUUGAUACUGCCUAAGGCCUUUCAGCCAGACAUAGCAGAAUCUUUGUGUCCCUGUUCAGAUACAAUUAGAAAGGUCAUUAGGCUCUAGUAUGUAUAAACUCUCACAAACCAUUCUGACCAUGUCUAUGUGUAGUUCUUGCAUAUGGAUGUUUAAUAUCCAAGAGACCUCUACCUCUAAUGAACAGUCCAUCCUGAUAAGGUUAGGAAAUUCAUUCAGAUCUAGUUGUCAAUGGCUGGUUCAGUUUCAUACAAUUCUUUUAUCCAUCUCUCCCUUACCUGGACUUAUCCAAUGCCUCUUUUCUCUAUAUCCAAAAGGAUGAUUACUGUAAAAGUGGCCAGAAACUUAUAAAAGUUACAAAUAUUGGUCCUGUUAAUGCCAUGUGACAAAUCUGGGCCAUCCUAAUUACCUAUAAGCUACUGAAUAACACUGCCUGGCCACUUUGGAGAGUGCUGGUUAUUUGCCCCUCCCAGGUCAAACUACCAUGUGUAGCCUCACCCAUAAGAUUACUAGACUCUCUCACCUUGCCUCUCAUUAACUACUGUGAGCCAAAUACCACUACUACCUCUUAUCACUCCCACAUCUCUAUCUUGGGUAUUGCCAAAUGUUUCAACCACUAAGUGACAUGCUUGGUGGACACACUGAAUCCAUUAGUCUUUAAUAACACUUUGGCUGUAUGCACCACCACACAGUCCUUGUGUCUGUAUAUAUACAAUGCCUAAAUUCUCUGUGGUACUCAGUUUAAACCUAGGUGGUCUGGGACUUGUGCUUUGAUGUUUCUUUCCCCAAAAUUAGGAGUGGUACCUGGUGAUGAACUCUCACUGAUUCCCAUCACAGGGUUUAUAAUAGAGUCACAGACAAAUGAGCAAUUCAGAUCCUAUCCUUUCUUGCAGACUUGGUAUAAGUGCUGUCUCCACUACAGCAGGAGGACUAACUACUUCCUUAGCUUUUUAUCUGAGUUUUUUCAUCUAAUUUCAUCCAAUGUCUACAGUAGGUGGCUCAAGCCAUCCUUAACCUCUAGGGCAAAAGAGAGUCAUUGGCCAUGUUGAGGCUAUAAAACCAGCAAGGCUUAGAUUUACUAAGAGCAGAGAGUGAUUUUCUUUGAUUCUUCCUCAGGGAGGAAUGUUGCAUCUAAGUCAACCAGUCAGGUAU